This is an RNA transcript of Panicum virgatum (switchgrass), 2050 nucleotides long. It is a transcript of the gene named probable glucuronosyltransferase Os01g0926600, with no coding region annotated. Lineage: Eukaryota; Viridiplantae; Streptophyta; Magnoliopsida; Poales; Poaceae. The record is from RefSeq and is a predicted model, not a curated record. The transcript is spliced from 5 exons.
CUUUGACUCCGCGUCCCUAUUCUCCCUGCCUGCCUGCCAAGAAUCCUGCCAGCUCCCACCUCCACACCCUCCCGACUCGAGCCUCCAUCUCUCCCCGCUGCUCCUGAGUCCUGAGCCGCCGAGCGUGGAGGGAAGGCGCGGAGGCAGAGGUGCGGACGGCAGACUAAUGGGGACGGGGAGGGCGCGGGCGCUGCCCCUGGCGCUCGCCUUGCUCCUCGCCUGCUCCGACGUCGCCGUCGUCGCGGCGCAGGGCACCGAGCGGAUCCAAGGAAGUGCUGGUGAUGUGCUAGAAGAUGAUCCUGUUGGAAGGCUCAAGGUAUAUGUCUAUGAGUUGCCGCCCAAGUACAACAAGAAUAUUUUGGCAAAAGAUUCAAGAUGCCUCAAGCACAUGUUUGCUACAGAGAUCUUCAUACAUCGCUUCCUACUGUCGAGUGCAGUCCGGACAUUAAAUCCGGAAGAAGCCGAUUGGUUCUAUACUCCAGUAUACACAACAUGCGACCUUACACCAUGGGGCCAUCCCUUGACCACCAAGUCUCCACGUAUGAUGAGAAGUGCGAUUCAGUACAUUUCCAAGCGUUGGCCCUACUGGAACAGGACAGAGGGAGCAGAUCAUUUCUUUGUCACACCACAUGACUUUGGAGCAUGCUUCUAUUUCCAGGAAGCAAAGGCUAUUGAGCGAGGUGUCCUUCCGGUGCUGCGCCGUGCUACGCUGGUCCAGACUUUUGGGCAGAAGCAUCAUGUGUGCCUCAAGGAAGGCUCCAUCACCAUCCCACCAUAUACUCCUCCUCAUAAGAUGAGAACUCACCUCAUUCCACCAGAGACCCCUCGGUCAAUCUUUGUCUAUUUUCGUGGUUUGUUCUAUGAUACUUCAAAUGAUCCUGAGGGUGGUUACUAUGCAAGGGGCGCCCGUGCCUCAGUGUGGGAGAACUUCAAGAACAACCCGAUGUUCGACAUCUCGACAGACCACCCACCAACCUACUAUGAGGACAUGCAGCGUUCCGUCUUCUGCUUGUGCCCACUGGGCUGGGCCCCAUGGAGCCCCCGUUUGGUGGAGGCUGUGGUGUUUGGCUGCAUCCCCGUGAUCAUCGCCGAUGACAUUGUUCUUCCCUUUGCGGACGCGAUACCAUGGGAGGAGAUUGGUGUCUUUGUGGCCGAGGAUGACGUCACGAAGCUGGACACCAUCCUGACCUCCAUACCGAUGGAGGAGAUCCUUCGGAAGCAGAGGCUGCUCGCAAACCCAUCCAUGAAGCAGGCCAUGCUCUUCCCACAGCCUGCUGAACCCAGGGACGCCUUCCACCAGAUCCUGAACGGGCUCGCACGGAAGCUGCCGCAUGGUAAGGGCGUGUUCCUGAAGCCCGGGCAGAAGGUGCUGAACUGGACUGAGGGAGACCCGGCCGAUAUGAAGCCGUGGUAGGUAUAAACAUGUAGUGGCAUGGAACCAUCACCAUUCGCCAUGGCUGGUAUUCUUUUGUAAACGACACAACCAUACGAGAGGCUGAUCAUACAGUUGAGGAUGAUGCUUAACUGAAUGCUGAUUUAAAAUGGCUCCAUGUGUUCUUGACUUCUUGGUGUGGUGGCAAGUAAUGAAGCAAGGACAGAACCCAAAUGUUUGGCUUCCAGAAGCAUUUAUAUAGCUUAGUAGACAUAUGCAUGCCUUACAGAAGCACAACCUGGUACGAAUAAGCAUAAGACCAUACACAGAGUGUAUAUUCAGUGUUGCUGAUGAUUCAUGGGGCGGCGAUCUUCCAGAUUCAGAGAAGAAGGUAGUCCAUGUCCAUGUCCCUGCCAUCUUCCAGAUUCAGAGAAGAAGGUAGUGCACGGAGUAACUCUGUAUGGUGCCCUGACGAGACCCGCAAGAGUGGGGAUGCAUUGCCGGGAGAUACAUGCUGAAUAAUUCUAAAUUUGGACGGCCAGCGUGCACAAACGCGGGGAUAGCUCAGUUGGGAGAGCGUCAGACUGAAGAUCUGAAGGUCGCGUGUUCGAUCCACACUCACCGCAUCUCUUUUUCUCAACCUCGUACUAUUUUGUCCUUUUGCGCCUUGCACCAUUU